This 438-nucleotide long non-coding RNA is filed under the name Nicotiana tabacum (common tobacco). Its description in RNAcentral is "long non-coding RNA (NTAB_LNC017043)". The record is from RNAcentral. Lineage: Eukaryota; Viridiplantae; Streptophyta; Magnoliopsida; Solanales; Solanaceae.
GGAGAAUGGAGGUGUUAUAAUUUUAAGAAGUUGUUGAAGUCAGGAGCCCGCCUGGAGAAUGGAGGUGUUAUAUCUUUAAGAAAUAGUUGAAGUCAGGAGCCCGCCUGGUGAAUGGAGGUGUUAUACUUUUAAGAAGUUGUUGAAGUCAGGAGCCCGCCUGGUGAAUGGAGGUGUUAUAUUUUUAAGAAGUAGUUGAAGUCAGGAGCCCGCCUGGAGAAUGGAGGUGUUAUAUAUUUAAGAAAUAGUUGAAGUCAGGAGCCCGCCUGGAGAAUGGAGGUGUUCUAUUUUUAGAAGUAGUUGAAGUCAGGAGCCCGCCUGGAGAAUGGCGGUGUUAUAUUUUUAAGAAGUAGCUGAAGUCAGGAGCCCGCCUGGAGAAUGGAGGUGUUAUAUUUUUAAGAAGUAGUUGAAGUCAGGAGCCCGCCUGGAGAAUGGAGGGGU